UGUGCGAGGUGAGUGGAGUAUUCUGGCAGGACUAGUAGACCUCCAGGCAGGGAGUUCCACAUGUACUUGUUUCUCGAUAUGUGGGAAAACACACGGUCCUUAAUGAUCUGGGGGAGGAACAAAUUGAAAUGUCAUUGGGAAUGCGGUCAGUGCAAAUGCAACAUAAAACACAUUACUGCACCAUGUUUUUCGUUUGCUUCCCUGUGAUCCACACAUUGUAAUUCCUACUUGAACCAACAGGAGGUGACCAAGAGGCAACAUCCAAAGGCGCCCCGCCAUGAAUCCCAGUGCUUCGCUGACCUCAGGCUGACUGCACAGCUGUCUCUCCCAUGGGGAGAGGUCCCCCUUCAGCUUGCUGAUUAUGAGUGAUUCUUCAUCUAAAAGGCAAUCUACGAACAUCCUAGAAGUCGGCAUCCUAAUGACAGCAGACCUUGUACGAGGGAUGCGCAGCACCACUGAUGAGGUCAAGCCGUUCAACGUAAUGGGGCCCCGAUUAAACAUGUCUCCCCCUCAUCAGCACAGGCAGGUAGGGGCCGUGCAAGCCGGUGCUUUUGAGCCCAAGCUGGAUUAAGACCCCUGCAGUUAAUCACGGCGGCCCGACAUGCAGCCACACCAUUUGAUAAAGGUGUUUGCGGGCCAGAUAAAAUGAUGUCGCGGGCCAGAUCUGGCCCCCGGGCCUUGAGUUUGACAUCUCUGACCUAAAACAUGAAACGUGACUGUGGAGGGCGGCGUGGCCUGCGGGCCUGCCGCGGAACGGGGUGUGCAAGGACCGGCCUCGAAGACAGCGACAGGU
This is a long non-coding RNA of Entelurus aequoreus (snake pipefish), 793 nucleotides long. RefSeq lists it as uncharacterized. NCBI's taxonomy places the organism in Eukaryota, Metazoa, Chordata, Actinopteri, Syngnathiformes, Syngnathidae. The transcript has 5 exons. The record is from RefSeq and is a predicted model, not a curated record.